CAUACUUGAUGUUGAGCAUGGGAAGUGGAGAUGGUGGAGGGUCAGAGUUGGGGAGUGAGUAUGAAUUUCAUUAUGAGGAUGCGGAUGUCCAUAAUCUCCAGGAUGGAGAGUUUGGUAUAUUGGUAGGUGGCGAGUCUGAAGAAGAAGAAGAUGGAGAUGACGAUGAUGAAGAUGACGUAGAAGAUGAUGGAGAGGAGGAAAAUGAUGACGAUGAUGAAAUUGAUGCAUUUGAUGCACAGGAAAAUGACGUAGAGAUUGACCCUUCUGCUUACAAUGACGAC
RNAcentral lists this long non-coding RNA (281 nucleotides) under Zostera marina. RNAcentral's name for it is "long non-coding RNA (ZMAR_LNC006144)". The record is from RNAcentral. Lineage: Eukaryota; Viridiplantae; Streptophyta; Magnoliopsida; Alismatales; Zosteraceae.